This 253-nucleotide ribosomal RNA is filed under the name uncultured bacterium. RNAcentral's name for it is "partial 16S ribosomal RNA". It matches the Rfam family "Bacterial small subunit ribosomal RNA", at positions 524 to 776 of the family's 1533-position model. The record is from RNAcentral.
UACAGAGAGUGCAAGCGUUAAUCGGAAUUACUGGGCGUAAAGCGCACGUAGGUGGAUAUUUAAGUCGAAUGUGAAAUCCCCGGGCUUAACCUGGGAACUGCAUCCGAUACUGGAUGUCUAGAGUAUGGUAGAGGGAAGUGGAAUUUCCGGUGUAGCGGUGAAAUGCGUAGAUAUCGGAAAGAACACCAGUGGCGAAGGCGGCUUCCUGGACUAAUACUGACACUAAGGUGCGAAAGCGUGGGGAGCAAACAGG